This 643-nucleotide long non-coding RNA is filed under the name Marmota monax (woodchuck). The record is from RNAcentral. Lineage: Eukaryota; Metazoa; Chordata; Mammalia; Rodentia; Sciuridae.
UGUAUUCCUAGCAAACAGGAUGAAAAUGAAGAAAGUUUGUUUGUUUUUGUUUUUGUUUUUUGGAAUGAGAUGGAAAAUAAUCAUUUUAAGAGCCAAAAAAAGUGCAAAGUCAAGUUAGCUGUAUAGUCACCUGGGAAGGAAUUUGUGGUUUUAAUUCAAUUUGAAAAUGAAGUAAUGAUGGAACAUAGUACCAGCUUUCCUCCCCACUCCCAACCCUCCAUUAUCCUUUGGGCAGGUGGUUCUAAAACUGUCUAGCUUGACAUGUUGUUUUCCUUUUGGGGGGAAAAAAAUCUUUAACUUCAAGAAAAUUUAGAAAUAACAUGUAUAUAGUUAGAAUUUUAAGUAUUUGAAACCAUGUCAUGUUUGAGUUCAUUGAAUUUGAAACAUUUAAAAUAAUUUUAAUUAACUGAGAAGGAAAUCUCCUUUUAAGGUGAAUAGAGAAUCUGCCAGAUUUGUUCAUAGAGUAUUAAGAUUUGUAAACAGAACUUGACUCUUAUGGAAUAACUAGGAUUUUGAGUUUACAAUUUGCAACCCAAUAAGUUGAAUAUUAUAAGAUACUUUGUGUACAAUCAGUGUCUUCAAAAAUUGUGCUCUAUAAGUGUAAUAUGAAAUGAAUUGCAUUCUGCCAUUAAGUAUAACAAAC